RNAcentral lists this ribosomal RNA (491 nucleotides) under uncultured bacterium. Its description in RNAcentral is "partial 16S ribosomal RNA". It matches the Rfam family "Bacterial small subunit ribosomal RNA", at positions 28 to 507 of the family's 1533-position model. The record is from RNAcentral.
GACGAACGCUGGCGGCGUGCUUAACACAUGCAAGUCGAACGGUGAAGCGCAGCUUUUGUCGGGUGGAUGAGUGGCGAACGGGUGAGUAACACGUGAGUAACCUGCCCCCUUCUUUGGGAUAACGCCCGGAAACGGGUGCUAAUACUGGAUAUUCGCUGGUCAUCGCAUGGGGGCUGGGGGAAAGGGUGUUUCUGGUGGGGGUUGGGCGGACGGCCUAUCAGCUUGUUGGUGGGGUGACGGCCUACCAAGGCUUUGACGGGUAGCCGGCCUGGGAGGGUGAGAGGCCACACUGGAACUGAGACACGGACAAGACGCCUACGGGACGAAGCAGGGGGGAAUUUUGGACAAUGGGCGAAAGCCUGAUACAGUGAUGCCGCGUGUAGGAGGAAGGCAUUGGGGUUGUAAAGUUGUGAACCUCGGUAGGAAAUGGUGUAGGCUAAUACAUGGCUGUGGUGACGGUAGUGGGAGAAGAAGCACCGGCUAACUACGUG